RNAcentral lists this long non-coding RNA (11460 nucleotides) under Cicer arietinum (chickpea). Its description in RNAcentral is "long non-coding RNA (CARI_LNC001662)". The record is from RNAcentral. Lineage: Eukaryota; Viridiplantae; Streptophyta; Magnoliopsida; Fabales; Fabaceae.
UUUAUUCUUUCUCUAAAUUUUAUUAACUGUCUACUAACUCUCUUUGGAAUGAGGAGCUUCAAUAAUGUCUUACACUAACAAUUCCACAAAAAUUUAAUUUUUUUUAAUAAGUGAUGAAUUAAAUAUAAUUUUUUUUAAUUUUUGCCAUUGAAAUUUCAUAUUUAAUUCUACUUCUGAUAAACAACUAAACCUCUCUAAGGCACAUCCUAACACUUUAUAUUUUUCAUGUAUGUUUGAUUGGUUAAUAUAUGCUGUACAUAUUAAUUACCAAUAUGUGUUGUUUAUAAUAUGUUCUUGUGUAAUGAAAUACAUAUGAUACAAAAUACAUUAAAUUAAAAACAACAUUACACAGACUAUGUGGAUAGAGGUGGAGCAAUAGUCAUGGUGCCGAUAGCAUCAGAGAGGCUUGCUUUGCUUUGCUAUGCUUCAAGAGCUACAUGAUGACAUGGAAGUAUGAAAUACAUAUAGGCUAAGCCUACAACUGGUUAUGUCAAUUGCAAUAUGGAUGCAUUGUUCAAUUGCAAUAGAUAGACAUGAUGUGGAUUUGUAUACGCCUCUUAAAUAAACACGAUCAAUUUCUUGUAGUAAGAAUUCUACGCUAAAUAUUUUGGACCUCUAAAUUAUUUUAUUUUUGUUUUAGUAGUUAUAAAUAUUUUACACUUUGGUUAUUCUAAUAGUGUAAUUUAUAAAUAUUUGAUGUAGUUAUUUAGUAGUUAUGAAAUUUUUUAUAGUUAUUUUUUAAUACUGGAAAUUUCAGUUUUGAAAUUUUCAGGAGUUUCAAUCGGAAAUUUUAAAUUUCCGAUAUUGAAAAAUAACUAUCGGAAAUUUUCAAUUGAAACUCCUGUAAAUUUCAAAAAUUAAUUUUUCAGUAUUGAAAAAUAACUACCAAAAAUUUCCUUUUUAAAAUUUUUAGUAAGAGAUUUUCUGAGAAAAAAAUUUACUUAUUCCAAAAAAUCAGAUUGUGAAUACCACAAAAUAUUUUUUUUGUUUUUACCAUAAAGUUAUAAGUAUUCUAAUAAAUUUAGAUAUAAAUUUUUUAAAUGGAGGUACGAAAUCCAUCUCUCUAUAUAUAAUUGGGCCUUCAUCCCAUUUUCUCUAUUUGGUCUUUGGGCCUUUUUUGGGUUAGGCCCUUUUAACUUUUUAAGUGCUAAUAAUCAUAAUUGUAUGAAAAUGAUUAAUAAAUUAUACUAGUACCCUCCAAUUUUACUUAUACCCCUCAAUAUUUUUAAAAUGCUAAAUUUUUUUUUAAUUUUUUUUUUAUUAUUUUAUCAACUCAAUUUCUUUUUUUUUUACCAUUUAAAGAUUUUUGAACCAAACAAUUCAAGUUUUUCAAUAUGUAAAAUAUUUUUAGAAAUUACCAAAAAACUUUUUAUAAGAUUUUUGAUACAAAAGGUUAACCGGAAAACUUUAAAAUAAAAAUUUUGAUAAAGAAGUUUUGUACCGAAAAGUUUUAAAAAAGAUUUGCAGUACAAAAGGUUGAGAAUAUACAUAUCGAGUAUCGCAAAUCUUUAAAACAGUUUUCCGAUAUAAAACAUUGAAAAUGUAUACAUAAGAUAGAAAAUAUUAAAAAUAAAAUUAUAAAAAUUUCCGAAAAACUUAAAUUUAUGGUUUCAAAUUUUUCGAUAAUUAUCAAAAAAACUUAAAAAAAAGUAUUCCAAUAAUCAUUGUUUUGAGUUGAUAAUUGGUUAGGACAAAUUAAUAUCGACUCAAAACAAAUUAUAUUAAUUUGUCCUAACCAAACUCUAAAAUUAUAUUGGUAAUUUUUAGACCAUAAUUCAUUUUAUCUUUUUACUAAACCCCACUUCGUUAUUAGAUAUGAACAAACCCGAUAAUGUACAAAUUAUAAUAAGAUCAUGUCUAUCUAGGAUGAGUUCGGAUUGAGUUGAAAGACAAAUAGAAACAAAAUUAUAAAGUUAUCAUCAUUCAAAUAAAAACUAAAAAGUUAAACGGUAGUUUACUUCUAACAGACAGAUAAAGUGAGUAAUGUAAUUUACAAAAUGGUUCAGGACUUAAAUAAAAAAAUUUAAUCAUUUUUAUCACAAUUAAUUUUUUUUUGUUAAUAAUUUAAAAAAAUAGUGGUUAAUAUUGUCUACAAUAUGAUUAAUGACGUAAAAAAACAUAAGAACUUUGUCAUUUUUAUCAUAAAUAAAAAACUUGGUUAAUGAUGUUGUGAAUUGCAUUAACCACUUUGUUUCACUCCAUUAACCAUGUUUUUUACUAAAAAAUAUCAUGUUCUUUAGUUUUAUGUUAUUAACCUCUUUGUGGAUUGCAUUAACCACUUUGUUUCAAGCAAUUAACAAAGUGUCGGAAAUGAUUGAUGAUUUUAAUGAAAGUUUGUUGGAAAUAAUGAUGACAUUAAUGGGAGCUAGUGUUGUUGUGAAUUGAAAAAUAAGGAAGUCUUACACAAGAGGGAUAUCACACACUAGUAGGAUAUAUAAGGUGGAGGUAUGGUACUUGGGGUGUGUCCCAAGGAGUACCUCAAUUUUGUAAAAGAUGGAGAACGCAUGAAAAAUUGACCACCACACACGCGCGCCGUCGUUGUCCGGCCGACUCGACUCGACCGAGCCUUGGCCUUGGGGUAUAUUAUUUUUUAGCAUAUGAAAAUUAAUAAAUUAAUUAUUUAUUUAAGUGAAUGCUUACAUUUUUAUCUCUAAUUGUUACAUUAAUUACGUAAUUGUCCUCCACUUAGUCAACAUUCAUCAUCUGAUCCAGUUAGUUCCUUGCCCCCGAUUUCGCGCUUGAGUUUUGUUGGUCAAAACUCUAAUCACUAGUCAUGUGCGUCUGGCUUAAUCUAAAAACAAAACGUCUCUUUAUGAGAUAAUGAAGAAAAGACAACCUAACUUCUCUUAUCUUCGAACAUGGGGUUGUCUGCCUUAUGUCAGAAUCCCCGAUCUCAAGCGAAUUAAACUCGCUAGUAAAGCCUAUAAAUGUGUGUUUAUUGGGUAUGCAAUAAACAGUAAAGCGUAUAAGUUCUAUGAAAAUAAAUUCCCUUUCAAAUCAAGAAAUGGUGGGGGCAACGAACCUAGUCAAGUUCCCGUGACAAGAAGCACUGAAAGCAACAACCAAGGCGUAAAAGAAACUCGAAGAAGUAAGAGAGCUAGAGUUGCUAAAGAUUAUGGACCCGAAUAUAUGGCCUAUAACUUAGAAAAUGAUCCUGCAAAUCUAAAAGAAGCUUUGUCAUCAAUGGAUGCAGAUUUAUGACAAAAAGCUAUAAAUGAUGAAAUGGAUUCUUUAGAGUCUAACGAGACCUGAUAUUUAGUAGACUUGUCUCCUGGUUGCAAACCAAUAGGUUAUAAAUGGAUCUUGAAAAAGAAACUAAAACCCGAUGGAAUUGUUGAUAAAUACAAGGCAAGCUUUGUAGCCAAAUGUUUUAGACAAAAAAAAAAUAUAGAUUUCUUCGACACUUUUUCACCAGUCACUAGAAUAACAUCCAUUAGGGUGCUCAUAUCACUUGUGGCUAUUCAUAACCUGGUGAUACACCAGAUGGAUGUUAAAACAACUUUUUUAAAUUGUGACCUGGAAGAAGAAAUUUAUAUGGAACAACCUGAAGGUUUUCUAAUUCAUGGACAAGAAGACAAUGUCUGUAAGUUAGAUAAGUCUUUGUAUGGUCUUAAACAAACUCCUAAGCAAUGACAUGAAAAAUUUGAUAACUUAAUUAUAUCGAAUGAGUUUAAAGUGAAUGAAAGUGACAAAUGCAUUUAUUACAAAUCUGAAAAUGGCAUUUGCACUAUCAUAUGUCUCUAUGUAGACGACUUACUCAUAUUUGGUUCAAACAUUCUUGCUGUAAAUAAUUUGAAAUUUUUGUUAAGUAACAACGUUGAUAUGAAAGACCUCGGAGAAGCAAAUGUAAUCCUUGGAAUCAAAAUUACUAGGUCAGAAAAGAGAUUUUCUUUGGAUCAAUGUCACUAUGUUGAAAAGAUCCUAAAGAAAUAUAAUUACUUUGAUUGUAAACCUGCUUGCACACCAUAUGAUCCAAGUGUGAAACUUUUCAAGAACACUGGUGAAUGUGUUAGACAAAUUGAAUAUGCAAGCAUCAUUUGCAGCCUCAUGUAUGUGACUGAUUGUACUAGACCCGACAUUGCCUACGUCGUGGGAUUGUUGUGCAGGUUUACUAGUAGACCUAAUAUGGAGCAUUGACAUGCUACUGAAAGAGUCAUGAGAUACCUUAAAAGAACCAUGAGUCUCGGAUUACAUUAUCAAAUAUUUCCUACCCUCCUUGAAGGAUACAAUGAUGCUGAUUGGAACACCUUAUCAGAUGACUUCAAAGCAACCAGUGUCUAUAUUUUCAGUAUAGGCAGUGGUGUUGUAUCAUGAAAAUCGAAAAAACAGACGAUAUUGAUUUUGUCCAUUAUGGAGUCUAAAAUGAUAGCACUAGCUACUGCUAGUGAAGAAACAAGUUGGUUGAGAUGCUUGCUAGCAGAGAUCCCUUUAUGGGAAAAACCUUUGUCAGCUGUGUUGAUUCACUGCGAUAGUACCACGACUAUAGCAAAAAUUGAGAAUCGUUGUUACAACGGUAAGAGACGACAAAUACGUCGUAAGCACAUCACUGUUAGAGAAUUACUUUCUAAAUGAGCUGUUAUAGUGGAUCAUGUACGCAUUGAUGAUAAUUUAGCAGAUCCUUUGACAAAAGGAUUGGCUAGAGAGAAAAUCCUAAAUAUAUGCAAAAGGAUGGGACUAUUGCCUAUAGAUCAAUGAGUCACUUAUGAUGGUAACCUGACCUAAAAGACUAGAGAUCCCAAGAAUUAGGUUCAAUGGGUAAUAACAAGUCACAUUGAUAAGAAAUGAACAUGUUACAUGACAUAUGAAAGAAGCAUGAUUCCGGAAGCGAUAAAAAGAUGAGAUAAUAUAAACUCUUAAUGAGAUCUAUACUAUAUGUGGAGUACAUAGCUACAUGAGUACUCUUGAUAGACUCACCUAUAUGAAUGUGGAAGUGGGGCAGUUUCCUAUGGAGUUUCGAGGCAGAAUUCUUAGAGCAUUCAUUAUAUUAGGAUACACGUACAUGGCCAUAAAUACACAGGCUUUUGAGAAUACACCCAAAUGAAAAAGGUUGUGUGUGGGUUUGAUGUCAGAGAUAAAAUUCAAGACUAUGAGUCACUCUUGUUGAAUCUGAAUCUUACUUGCUAUGCAAAGGUUCAAGUCAAGAAACACAUUUGUUUAUGCACAAUCUUAUAGAAGCGUUUGACACUAUUUCAAAAACCUUCUUUUAAAUUCAAGUGGGGGAUUGUUGGAAAUGAUGAUUAUUUUAAUGGAAGUUUGUUGGAAAUAAUGAUGAUAUUAAUGAGAGCUAGCGUUGUUGUGAAUUAAAAAAUAAGGAAGUCCCACAUAAGAGGGAUAUCACACAUUAGUAUGGUAUAUAAGGUGGAGGUAUGAUACUUAGGGUGUGCCUCAAAGGGUACCCCAAUUUUGUAAAGGAGGGAAAGAACGCAUGUAAAAUUGACCACCACACAUAGGCGUUGGCGUUGACUACGUGGUGUAUUAUUUUUUAGCAUAUGAAAAUUAAUAAAUUAUUUAUUUAUUUAAAAAAAAUGAAUGUUUGCAUUUUUAUCUCUAAUUGUUGCGUUAAUUACGUAAUUACCCUCCACCGAAUCAACAUUCAUCAUCUGAUCCAGUCAGUUCAUUGCCCCCGCUUUCACGCUUCAGUUUUGUUGGUAAAAACCCUAAUCACUAGUCAUGUGCGUCUGUUAUUGUCUGGUCAAAAACUUAAGUCAAAACUGAGCGCACAUUUUAUGGUCAAACAAUAUGUGGCACACGUUUUGGUGGUUAAACAAGUAGUGGCAUCCGUUUCUGUGGUCAAAUUAUAAAUAUCAGAGCAAACAUUUAUUGAAUCAGACCUAAUGGAUCGCACCUUUCUCUUUGAUCCAGUUAAGGAUUUCCUUUAUAAAUUGAGGGCUCUCCUCAGUUGAAAAAACACACAAAAAAGUCUCUGUAUCAGAAGUUUUUCUCUCUUCUCACCUUUCUUACUCACUUCUUUUGUUUCCUUUGAAUGGUCUUAGUGCCAUAUUACGACGAGUUUUAUGCAGGGGACUUCGUGGUUGAUAGUUUGUCUUGCACAAUUUGGGCAGUGCCUCAAAACGUCUUAAAGAGAGUGACCUAGUCCGCGACUCAACCUAGUAAUAUUGUCGGUUGCAUAAAUUGUUUUUUCAAAGUUUUUCGAAAUUCAAAACUAACAAUUAAUUUUUUUCGUUAAUGAUCUAAAAAAAUAGUGGUUAAUAUUGUCUACAAUAUGAUUAAUGACGUAAAAAACAUAAGAACUUGGUCAUUUUUAUCAUAAAUAAAAAGCUUGUUUAAUGAUUUUGUGAAUUGCAUUAUCCACUUUGUUUCACUCCAUUAACCAUGUUUUUUACUAAAUAAAAAUGAUCAAGUUCUUUAAUUUUAUGUUAUUAACCACUUUGUGGAUUUCAUUAACCACUUGGUUUCAAGCAAUUAACAAAGUUGUUUACUUGUUUGUAAUUAUAAUGAUAAAGUUUCUUAGAUUUAAGCUAUUAACCAUUUUGUAGAAUGUAUUAACCAGGAUCGUCUUAAUAUUUUUUAGAGGCUUUUUUCGAAUCUAAAAAUUGGACCUUGAAAUCACAAAAUUCUAACAUCAAGAUUUUUAAGAUUUUAACAUUUGACCGUUAUUGGUGGCUCCUGGUAGACUGUAGCCCCUAUCACAGACCCAAUUGUCUAAAAUUGACUAUUUAUUUUAGGGAUAAGGUAUAAAUAUAAAAUUUUAAAGUGUUUAAUGUACAAAAUUAAAGAAAUCAAUGUAAAUGUUAUGAUGUAUUAUAAAUAAAUAAAAUAGAGUCAUAUCUAAUUAAGAGUCUUGUGCUAAUAUUUUGAUUGUACACCUUAAUCGACAGAUCUAGUAUUAACUACUAUGUUUCAAGGAAUUAACUAAAAAAAUUAUGUCAUAAAAAGAACCAAGUUAUUUGAGGCACACCCUAACCAUCAUGGCCGUUACUGCACAACCAUAAUUCUUAUUGUCUUGUCUCAAAAUUCACACUUUUUUCUAGAUGAAUUAUUGCCAUAAUGUCCAACAGUGGGGAAGACUUUCUACAACCUUUCAAGAAGUAAAAUAUUAUUAAUUAAAUAAAACCAACAUAGUAUAUAACACUGUUCAAAACAAAUUUGGUGUCAUCUUAAAAAAAGAAAGUCAGAAACAUGACUACUAAUGUUUAACCUUACAUAAUUGUUCAUAACAACCAAAAAAGAAGAAAACAAGUGUUUGUGAAACAAAUGUCAACAUUUACUAAAUUGGUUUUUUUUAUUUUAAAUGUCGAUAUUUUUUAUUUUUUUAAGUUUUUAAAUUAAAAAAAGUAAUUGAUUUAAUAUAUUUUAAAUCACACAAGAUACAAUUUUAUGAUAUAAAAUUAUUUAUAAUUAUUUAUAUGUAAUUAACUAAAUUAAAAAUAUAAAUUUUUUAUAAAGUUGAAAGCUAAAUUUUUACGACAUUUUAUUCUAACUUAAUUUAUGAAUGUUAAUCAUUGUAUAUUAUUAUAUCAGAUUAAAAAAAUGAAAAGAAGAUAACAAAACUAUUGAUUUUUAAAAUAGAGAUCAAUUUCAACGAUCGAUAAAAAUAUAAAAACUAAAAUUAUAUAUAAGUCAAUUUUUUUUAUAAAAGUCUUAUAGCUAACGAUGUAUAUAACAAAACUAACAAUUAGGUGAGUGGUGAAAAAGAUAAAUUUAAAGGUUUUUUUUUUUUGGCAAAUGUUACCGUUAAACGUUAGUUACCGAUUUAUAUUUUCUGUUAAAUUCGUCUAUUUGGCUGCAUGCGUGUAUCGUGUCAAUAUAAGAGAGCAUGUACAUUGAGAUCAUUUCAUCUGACUUCGUUUUCUCUCAUUUAUCAUUUCAAAAAAGUCCUGUGUGCAUGAUGUCAAAUUUGAAACACUUUAUAGUACCUCAUAUUUUUUCUAAUAUAUUUUUGGUUUCUUUUAUACCAAAGUAUUUAAAAGGAAAAAUUAUUAAUAAACAUCCAGAUAUUUAGAUGACAAUUUGAAAGAAAAAAAAUAGUGGAGAACAAUGUGAUAGAUAGAAUAAAAGAGAUAUAAAAAGAAAUUAAAAAUGUUGAAUGGAAGUAUGAAAUGAUGGAUGUCCAAAGUGUAUCAUUUUUGUUUUAGAAAUUGGAUUGGUGUUUUUAUGUCUAAGAUUUUUUUUAUAGUUGAAUGUUAGUGGUUAAUUUGUUAGUAAAGAGAGAGAAAUAUUAGUAGUAGGAAUCAAAUCUUUAACCUCUUUUUUUAUAUUUUUUUUGUCUCUUAACUCACCAAUCGAACACUUAAUUACGCAGAAUCAACAAAUUUUUAAGGUGAAAACUAUAUCUAAUACCAUAUUACUAUUCUUGAUCAGGGACAACUCUACUUUAUAGAGAGUAGGGUUAGAGCUCCUACUAUGUUUUGAUUCUUCAUUAUAGAUAGAUAGACAAAUAGAAACAAAAAUAGUUUAAUUGACUAAUGUAACCUAUACAAAUCCAAAAUUGUAAGGAUUCAAUUACUUAAGUUUGUUCUUGAUAGAAGUUAUUGAUGCGAUAAAUAGAUAGAAAAGUAUAAUAAUAUAAAAAUUAAAUUGAUAAUGAGAAUCUAAUUACAUUAAGGGUUAUAUAAGAUUUAUAUAAUCAAUGAAGAAGAAACUAAUAACAAGUGUAACUAAUUAAUGUGACUAACUAUUCUAACUAACAAGAGUGUAUCUAAUACUAUACACUAUUCGAGAGAUAAAUCUUUCUGACAUAUCUUAGAUCGGUUCAUUAAGAGGUUUCCAAUAUAUAUUUUUUUAUAACAAUGAUACACAUAUACUCCUAAUUUUUUUGUACUCAUUCAACAUUUCAUUUUCUCUUUAUGUCUCUCUUUCUAUCACAUUAUCAAUAUAUUAUAUUUAGCACGUUACUUUUUUUAUCUCUUUAUUUUUCAAAGUGUAUACACUUCUAUAGGUGUACAGUAAACAUUUUUCAUUUUUCUAUAUGCAUUUUGGUGAUAUUUUGGUUUUAUAAAAAAAACAAAAAUAACGUCAUAUUUUGGUAUUAUCAAUAAAUAUUAUUGAUGGCUUUGAUCCGGUCGUGUCCACUGACCAGAAAUAAUAAAUAAGACAGCCAUUAGAAACGUUAAUUCCUGAUGCUGCAUAUGUGCCCUAAUGUCUUUGUCACCUACCAUUAAUAAAAACACUUUCGAUACAGCGAGCUAACAAUAUUAAUUAGUUCAUAUGAACUCCAUGUGAAUAUCACAUGUCUACAUGGCAGUCAGCAAGUAUGCCAAUAACAAUAUUGUUCACAAGUCAAACCUAAGACACAAUGACACAUACCUCAACCGUAUAUACCAAAAUGUUUUUUUGACGAUGGAAUUGAUGGAAUUGAUGGAAGAGUCUCUGAGAGGCUUACCAAGCACAUUGUAUACUUGGAAAUUUGAAUGUAGUACAAAACUGUGUGCUACUUUGGAUUUUAGUGUUGUCUUUACUCUCUCAUGCACUCAUUAACUUUUUAAUGACUUAAUGAAAACUUGUUUUAAGUACUAAUUAACACAACUAGAAGGUUGCAAGUUUUACAAUUUCCUAAGAGCUUUGAUCACUAGAUAUAUACUUAACGAGUGUGUUUAAUUGGUGAAAUUAUUACAAGAAAGGAUAGAAUAUGAGUGGAUUUAUGGCAAAGAGGUGUAAUAAGAGAUAUACAUCAACAAUAUGUUGUGUUUUGUUUUGAAGUUGUUGAAACUCUUAAUCACCUAUUUUUUAGGAAAAGAAAAUUUGGAAAUCAAUUUCCAAAAAUGACUUUAUUGGUAUCCCUAAUAUUUGAGGAGUGAAGUGAUAGAUAAUAUUGUCUUUUAAUGCAUUAGUGAAAGGAAAAAUAUGUUUAUCAUGUGUUUAGUCUCGUUUGAUUGACCACUACUUCUGUAUUUGGUUGGAAACGAGUAACAUUUUAUUUGCAGAAAAAGUGACAAAACAAAUAUGAUAGAGGUGACUGGUAAAUUAUGCUAAUUUGUAUUUUUAGUGUUUUAGAUGAGUUAAAAUAAAAGGUGCUCUCACAAUAAAAUUGUGUAUUUUUUAUUGCAAAAUCAUUAACAACCUAUUUAUAAUUAAUCUUCUAGAUUUCAAAUAAAUUUUUAAUAAUUUUAAUUUUAAAAAAAUGUCUCAAAUGACGAUAACGAUGAUUAGUAUUAUUAUAAUGUACAAUAUGAAAAUAAUUAAAUAUUUCUUGUAAUUUUUUAAUUAUUCAAAUAUAAUUUUGUCAUCAAUAUCAUGAGAACUAUCGUGUUUUAGAUAAUUAUGAAGAUGGUUGGAAGAAAAUUUUAAAUCAUUAUAAGAUAAUUAUUUAAACAUUUUCAAUAUAAACAAAAUUACAACAAUCUUUGGUCAACUAUUCAUAUCUCUAGCUAUAAUAAGUGAACUACAUACUUAUGUACCAUAUAUAAAAAAAAUGACGAAGUCAAUAGAUUCUUCAAGAGACUCAAUGUGCGUGCAUAUUCAUAUAAAUUUUUAUUAUAGUAUUUUUUCUACAAAGUUUUAUUUUAAUUUAGAAAUUUUAAGCGUUAUAAACUUUAACUAAAGAAACAAUAAAAAAUAAUUAAGUACAUCAUUAAAUUUAAAUUACAAAAAAAAUCAAUUUUAAUCAACUGUGUAUUUUCUAUAGUAUUUUCAAUUCAAUUCAUUUUUCAUACAUAUUUUAAAAAUUAUUUAUUACAAUUAUUUUAACUUUAUAUGUAUCAUGAAAAUCCAUCCUCUUUUAUUUUUCAUGUAUUAAAUAUGAUUUUUAAAGUCAUGCAUGUUAUAUGAACAUCAAUAUUAUAUACCAUAGUAAACUUUAACUCUUAUUAAAUUUAUAUAAUAUGUAUAAUAUGGUAAGUAAUUGUAUUAUAUAUAUAAAUAGUGUAAGUGAAAAUAAAAAUUAAUUUUUGUUUACCUUUUUAUCUAUAUAAUUAUUAUUUUUUAUUAUUGAUUUAUUAUUAUUUAUUAUUUUUAUUAUUGAUGUUUUAAAUAUGAUGUGAACUUGUAUUGAUAUUAUUAUUUGAUAUUUUUAAUAGUGUACCGUAUAAAGAAAUAAAUUAAGAUCCAACCCAAAAUAAAUAAAAAUAAUGAAGAAAAAAAAUCGGUAAUAUCCUAAGAAUCGAUACCGAGUACCUGCAGAUGCCGUUGUUUUGGUCAUCACCUCCAGGUUUGGCCGUUAUCUCUACUUUCUCUUUUAAAAACUCCUCUUUUCUUAUUGAAUCAGCCGUCAUGAAUCCAUCCGCUAACAGUCUAAACAUCGGUAGACUUUUAUGCCCGUAAUGGAUUAAUAGACUGUGUCUGAACGAACAAUUUAUGCCCGUAACCGUUCAAGAAAGAGGUUCGAUUUAGCAGUUGAUGUUAGAUCUGGUUAAGAUGUAAGUUGUAGCGGUGUGGUUAGCAUGUAAGUUGUAGCGGUGUCUGUGUAUCAGUUCUAUUAUGUUAUCGCUUGUGUAUCACAGAAUGAUAAAUAUAGUAUCAACUAUUUCAUCUAACCCAUCACGUCCAUAAUUUUUGUUUUUC